CGCCCGCCGGGUGUUCGACGAAAUGGGAGACCAAGGAACUGUCGUCGUUCUUGCAAGAAAAAUCAAGUCGGAUCAUGAUGUGGUACGUUAUUUGAUCGCACGAUGUGGAGGAAAAGUGUUGGAUUAACCUCAAAGUGAUGCUAACGAAUAAACCAGAGGAAUGGAUGAUCUGAUCAAGUGCCAGGAUGGAAGAUGCUCACCAAGUGGUCAUCAUCUAACAACACUUAGUGUUAUCCCAGGC
Molecule: long non-coding RNA, 241 nt
Filed under: Zea mays
Lineage: Eukaryota; Viridiplantae; Streptophyta; Magnoliopsida; Poales; Poaceae
Description: drought responsive lncRNA
Source: RNAcentral